CUGGGGUUUGGAGGAGGAGGACAGAGAGAGAUUGAUAUGGAGCUGCAGGAGGCACAGACCUGCUCAGUGCCUCCGGCUCCUGGGGCCAGAGUGGCUGUGAAGUGGCACCUUGGAGAGGUUCCAGCGAGCUAUGGCAUUGCCUUUUUAUGGACCGUCUGCAAGCUGGAUCUGUUACAGUUUUCAAGUCAACACUGAAAAGAACCUGAACCCGACCUGGGCUCGAAGAGCUACGUAGACUAGGGAGCUGGCGAGUUGAUUCCAGUCACACUGGAAUUCGGAUUCCCUCUUCAAAGAGCAGUCUGAGACCAGAUCUUCAGCUGGUAUAAAUUAGUGCAGCUUUAUUAAAGUCAAUGGAGAUAUAUGGGUUCUGGCCUGAGAUUUAGGUUUGAUAAUGCCUUCAGUGCUUCUCUGAAAUGGGGACAUAAUGAUGUUGGUGCUAACAAAUGUGUGUGUUGAUUUUAUUCUUGGAAAAAUUUGACUUUUAUUGGUAAAAGUCAGUAAACAUUGAUUUCACUGCACACACACACACCAAUGAAAAAAUAUUUUAACUGAUAAUAACAAAAACGAGCAGAUAAGCAAAGUAAAGAAAAUGCUGCUUGAAAACUUAUUGGGCAUAUUUCAUUUGUAAAUGGUG
Molecule: long non-coding RNA, 634 nt
Organism: Chelonoidis abingdonii (Abingdon island giant tortoise)
Lineage: Eukaryota; Metazoa; Chordata; Testudines; Testudinidae
Source: RefSeq, a predicted model, not a curated record